CCUACGGGUGGCAGCAGUGAGGAAUAUUGGUCAAUGGGCGCGAGCCUGAACCAGCCAAGUAGCGUGAAGGAUGACUGCCCUACGGGUUGUAAACUUCUUUUAUCAAGGAAUAAAGUGAGGCACGUGUGCCUUUUUGUAUGUACUUUAUGAAUAAGGAUCGGCUAAUUACGUGCCAGCAGCCGCGGUAAUACGGAGGGGCCGAGCGUUAGCCGGAUUUAUUGGGUUUAAAGGGAGCGUAGAUGGGAUGUUAAGUCAGUAGUGAAAGUUUGCGGCUCAACCGUAAGAUUGCAAUUGAUACUGGCAGGCUUGAGUGCAGGUGAGGCAGGCGGAAUUCGUGGUGUAGCGGUGAAAUGCUUAGAUAUCACGAAGAACUCCGAUUGCGAAGGCAGCUUACUAAACUGCCACUGACAUUGAUGCUCGAAAGUGUGGGUAUCAAACAGGAUUAGAUACCCGUGUAGUC
This 460-nucleotide ribosomal RNA is filed under the name uncultured bacterium. Its description in RNAcentral is "partial 16S ribosomal RNA". It matches the Rfam family "Bacterial small subunit ribosomal RNA", at positions 338 to 795 of the family's 1533-position model. The record is from RNAcentral.